GGGGCAGGUAGCCUAGUGGUUAGAGUGUAGCGGUGGCAGGUAGCCUAGUGGUUAGAGUGUAGGGGUGGCAGGUAGCCUAGUGGUUAGAGUGUAGCGGUGGCAGGUAGCCUAGUGGUUAGAGUGUAGGGGUGGCAGGUAGCCUAGUGGUUAGAGUGUAGCGGUGGCAGGUAGCCUAGUGGUUAGAGUGUAGGGGUGGUAGGUAGACUAGUGGUUAGAGUGUAGGGGGGGCAGGCAGACUAGUGGUUAGAGUGUAGGGGCGGCAGGUAGACUAGUGGUUAGAGUGUAGGGGCGGUAGGUAGACUAGUGGUUAGAGUGUAGGGGUGGCAGGUAGCCUAGUGGUUAGAGUGUAGGGGGGGCAGGCAGACUAGUGGUUAGAGUGUAGGGGUGGUAGGUAGCCUAGUGUUUCGAGCGUUGGGCCAGUAACCGAAAGGUUGCUAGAUCGAAUCCCCGAGGUGACAAGGUAUAAAUCUGUCGUUCUGCCCGUGAACAAGGCAGUUAACCCACUGUUCCCCGGUAGGCCGUCAUUGAAAAUAAGAACUUGUUCUUAACUGACAUGCCUAGUUAAAAAAAAUAAAAAAUGCAAUACCAUGUGUGGAUAUCAUAAGGUGAAUGCACUAAUUUGUAAGUCGCUCUGGAUAAGAGCGUCUGCUAAAUGACUAAAAUGUAAAUGUAAGACACUUCCACAGUCUAUUUCUAUUUCACUUCCACAGUCUAUUUCUACUUCCACAGUCUAAUACUAUUUCACACACUUUGUUCCUUUUCUCUUGAUUUGGUGUUGAUUCUACUGCCUAUUGAUCCUCCCUUUCUGAUGUGAAUACUAUCUUUGUUUUCUUUCUGGAGACUGUAUGUGGUCCUUCCCUCUCUUUCUGGCACCCUAUUGCCCAGUACAGUGCACUACCAGGACCUAUUGGUCAAACGUAGUGCACUAAAAUGGGAAUAGAGUACAGUUUGGAACGUAGUCUCUGAGUUGUGUGACAGAGUAGACUGGGUUUUGUGUUUCUCUCCUCUAGACCCUCUCAGAUAUUACCCUGUUACUAUUUUCAGAUGUGUGGCUGCAAGUCUUUCAAUAAAAAGUCUAAAACA
This is a long non-coding RNA of Salvelinus fontinalis (brook trout), 1083 nucleotides long. RefSeq lists it as uncharacterized. The record is from RefSeq and is a predicted model, not a curated record. Lineage: Eukaryota; Metazoa; Chordata; Actinopteri; Salmoniformes; Salmonidae. The transcript is spliced from 2 exons.